AUUUUCCGCUCGGAAAGAGGUGCUUUCCGGCCCAUGUAGCCCUGGGCCUGGGAAAGUCAAAUGGGAAACGUGAGCGGUUCCGCCCUGGAACUGCCAAACGUGCUGCCCCCGCAACGGUACCUGCUACGCGCAAAGCCCGACACCAGCCUGCUUCUCGACCCUGAA
This 165-nucleotide non-coding RNA is filed under the name Alcaligenes sp. Lineage: Bacteria; Pseudomonadati; Pseudomonadota; Betaproteobacteria; Burkholderiales; Alcaligenaceae. The record is from RNAcentral. RNAcentral also lists the same sequence under 1 other name.